Molecule: unclassified non-coding RNA, 200 nt
Filed under: Hevea brasiliensis (rubber tree)
Lineage: Eukaryota; Viridiplantae; Streptophyta; Magnoliopsida; Malpighiales; Euphorbiaceae
Source: RNAcentral
CCUGCCAAUAACUUCCUGAGGUUUGAGGGUGCCCGGCAUUUCUCCUCUAUGUACAAGGCAAUUGAAGCCCUGUCAGAACCACUUGGCUCCUUCAAUGUUGUAAUAGCAUCUAAUAUUAGAUUAUCCAAUCUUGAAAGUAGUUCUUUUGAACCAACAUUCCUUGGUGUUCCUCUAGAAAUUGCUAUAGGCUUAGCAUCAAC